RNAcentral lists this ribosomal RNA (93 nucleotides) under uncultured bacterium. RNAcentral's name for it is "partial 16S ribosomal RNA". It matches the Rfam family "Bacterial small subunit ribosomal RNA", at positions 1390 to 1482 of the family's 1533-position model. The record is from RNAcentral.
CCGCCCGUCACAUCACGAAAGCCAUUUGUACUAGAAGCCGGUGAUUCAAUCGCAAGGAGAUAGCCGUCCAAGGUAUGAAUGGUGAUUGGGGUG